Molecule: non-coding RNA, 902 nt
Organism: Heterocephalus glaber (naked mole-rat)
Lineage: Eukaryota; Metazoa; Chordata; Mammalia; Rodentia; Bathyergidae
Source: RefSeq, a predicted model, not a curated record
CUGAGCAGCCCUUGGGAAGCAGCUGAGGCCUAUUGCUGUCUAUGAAGCUAUGAAGGGGUCAUCAACCAACUUCCAUUUAUUUUCAUAUCUGUGGCUGAACCAGAGACUCAUCCGAUGGUGACAACGAAUAUGCUAGCAAAGAUGAGAGUCUGGAAAAGAUGGCCUUGCUGAACUAAAGUGACCAGAGAUAAACAUGGGCCAAUAGCAAUGAACGUGAGGCAGCACUGGUCAAAGACAUCUCCAGGACUUCAAGCUUUAGAAGUAAGUUUAUUCUCCUUCCAGGUUAUUCUAGAAUCUUGGCUUGAGUCCAUGCCUUCUGAAGUGGAAGAGCUAGAUAAUGGACUUGCAGUAAUUAUUCCACUUGAACAUCUGGGUAAAUAUUUUCUCCAAAAGUAAAUUCUAGAAAAUUGGGAGUUCAGUAUUAAAACUGGCAGUAGCCAAAUAAGGACCACAUACAUUCACCUGGACUGCAGUUUGACCCUAGCAAUAGAUUUAAAGAAGAAUUUCAGAAACUCUCAUGUUCGUAUUUUUCUAUAUUCUCCAGUCACUUUUUUUUUCCAGUCACUUCUAUUGGCCACUAACUAUAUGACAUUUUUAUUUAAAACACCAGGAAUCAGUGAGUUUCUCCAAGAGGGGAUUAUUAUUUCUCUCCCUUCAUUGGGUUCUGAUGAUACUAAUGGAGGUAAACUGUAAAAUUAAUUCCAGGGUAUUUAGACAUAAGGGGGGUGCUACAUCAUACCAGUACUAUCCCCAAGUGUAUGCUUUCAUUUAAUUAGUACACAGCAAUUCUUGCUAAAGCUCAAAAUAAACUAACACAAUAAUACAUUAUGGGCCUAAUUUUAUAACAAGGAUAAUAGCCGGGCAAGAUGAUGCAUGCUUGUGAUCCCAGAACUCAGGAGGCU